Molecule: ribosomal RNA, 117 nt
Filed under: Pteropus alecto (black flying fox)
Lineage: Eukaryota; Metazoa; Chordata; Mammalia; Chiroptera; Pteropodidae
Source: RNAcentral
GCUGGAAGUUGCCACCCUGAACAAGCCCGAUCCCGUCUGAUCUCGAAAUUUAAGCAGGAUUGGGCCUGGUUAGUACUUGGAUGGGAGACCACCUAGGAAGACCAAGUGCUGUAGGUA